GAUGUGCCACAGGGAGCAUGUGUGCUACUGAAUAAAGGAUAAAAAUUUCAGUAUUUCUUAGAAAGAGAGUUGGAAAAGGAGCCUUAUUUGAACAAAUAGUCUAAGAGGUUAUUAGGGGCUUUGAAUGGUCAAGAAAAACAAUUAGUCACACAAGAAUCCGAAUACCAAUCUCUGUUUCAUGUGGUGGAUUUUUCCCCCCAUUUUUUUAAAGUACCUGUUUUCAUGUUGAUGACAGUUUCCCACAGGUGUUUCUUAUUUGUGACUUAAGUAAAUUAUUUUAUAUCUGCUGCCCCACAUAGAAAUAGGCUUCACAGGAGGAAAAGGUUUAUAGAUGCAAGGGAGUAAAAGUAGAGCUGCGUUUAUAUGCAUCAUGACAUCCCAUUUUUCUUGGAUAAGCCAAACUAUAGAAAGUGAGCUUGUGACAAUUUUUUUUUUUCCCCUAGAGACUGGGAAUAUUUUGAUGGCAUAUCACAGUAUCCGUCAUCUUGAUGGUUUACAGGAUUAGUGAGACUGCAUUCCAUUUGUAAUACUGCUUUGUGACUUUGUUGCUAUUGGCAUCAAUGGGCUCUGGUUUCUUUUCUUCUCAGAACAGAAUCCUCCUUAUAUCUAAGGAUGGAGCUAUAUUAGUAUGAAUAAUAAAGAAUGAUACUUGAGAUGAAAUGAUGUUUAUUGAAAACUGAAGAGGAGCAGAUGAAAAAAAGCAUAAAAAAGCAGAAGAUAAUUGCAACAACUGAUAAUACCUAAUUUACCACAGAUUAAAUUGCUACUCUGCCAUGUACUUUUCUCUAGAAAUGUGAACACAAUUUUUAGGUAUGUUACUUUGCUCUAUGUUUCUGUAUACAUAAAUGGUAAGGAAUUAAUAGAGCCUAGACUUCCCCAAACAAGGUGACUAGACAGUGUGGUCCUGGUGAGUGAACAGCUGUUGUUCUUCUAGCUGCUUGUUAUGCAAGGAGUUAGUUUGAUGUCCAAGGAGCAUACCUAAAUACUAUUUGUGUUUGUUUUGUGUCUGGCCCCACUGGGACCAGCUGUAGAAUGAACAAAAUGUUGUCCUAGCACAGUCAUAAUUUUCAAUCAUUUUGACAGUCUUCCUCUAUGUUACCCUUGUAGCCUGUAAUGCUGGAAAAAGUAUGCUUAUAACAGGAACAGAUGACCAAACUGAACUGAGCUCCUCUGUCUGUUAAAUAUUUCAGGCCUGAAAUGUGUUUUCCUGGACAUGAAACCUGCAGAGCAGAACAGGAGUAAGCCUUCCUGAACCUUGUCAGAGCAGGGCCACCAGCACCCACUUGUCUCCAGAGCAGCAGAUAAUCCAGUAGUGCUACUGAUUAGUGAUGAUGAAGACGAACAAGGAGAUAUUGAUGGUUCUGUUCUCUGUAAUACAAGGCUCUCUGGUACUGUCUUCCAUGGGAUUUGCAUGGAUUGCUACUCAUGGACUGCGCAAAGUGAACAACUGAUUGCAUCGACCCCCUGUGGUCGUGUCUACUGCAGUUGAUGCCUCCCUGUUGCUCUUCAGACUGCCAGCACUUGCCCAGCCUGCAGGACAGAACUCAGUCAUGAAAAAUAUCAUCCCAUUUAUAUAUGAGAACUAUUUCUCCAGACAGACUCAGAUGGAUCUUGGGGGAUAGGCUGUGUAAAGACUUGUUUCUUUGU
Molecule: long non-coding RNA, 1647 nt
Organism: Corapipo altera (White-ruffed manakin)
Lineage: Eukaryota; Metazoa; Chordata; Aves; Passeriformes; Pipridae
Exons: 5
Source: RefSeq, a predicted model, not a curated record